RNAcentral lists this long non-coding RNA (6191 nucleotides) under Gossypium raimondii (Peruvian cotton). Its description in RNAcentral is "long non-coding RNA (GRAI_LNC006257)". Lineage: Eukaryota; Viridiplantae; Streptophyta; Magnoliopsida; Malvales; Malvaceae. The record is from RNAcentral.
UCUACAUUUAUGCAGUGUAAAAGUUCGGAUCUGAAAGCGCAUUGUUAUAUGAUGUAACCUACUGAAGCGUUAGUAAAGAGAAGAGAAUGUACCUCAUCGGCAGCGACAGAUGGACCGGGAGAGGAAGCAUCGAGGCUAGGUCCAGGAGCUCCAGUUGGUGGAGCGGGAGGUCCAAGCAUAUCAGGUGAAGGAGUCGGAGCAUGGUGUUUCUUGGAUUUCUUGCUUUUGCUCUUGCUCUUGCUUGGAGCUGGGGCCGGAACCUCAGCAGUAGUUGGUGCAGCAACAGGAGCCGGAGGAGAGGCCGAGCUCUCUGGUGGAGUCGUCGGUGCAGCAACGGGAGGCGAUUUGGCUGGAGGAGAGCUCACAGGUACUGGAGCAGGUGGAGAACUCACCGGAGCAGCAGCCGGAGGAGAAGAAGCCGGAGCAGAUUUAGAUGGGGCUGGAACCGCCGCAGACUUCUCCGGAGCCGCAGCCGGUGGUGAAGAAGUUGGUGGGGAAGUGGUAGGGGCAGCAGUUGGAGCCGGUGAUUUAGGUUUGCUAACAGGGGCAGUAGCGGGAGCAGUAGCAGGAGUAGCCGCGGCCGGCGGAGCUUUAGUAGGUGAGGCUGCCGGAGAUUGACCACCGACAGCGGUUACCACAAAGCAAAUCAAAGCAACUGCAAAUGCACUUCUACGAUCCAUUUCUUGAAGACAGAGGGAGAGUGAAGUAGUAACAGAAACUAAUGACAACGAGACGACAGACUCUCAAUAAAUAUAUAAAUAAAUGAGGGAGAGAAUCAGAAAAAAUGAUGAUUAUAAAAAGAAAAGAAGAAAAAGUUAGGAACGUGUUUGGAUCAGAAAUAGCCGUUGGAUGAGAAGCUAUUUCGGGGCCCACCGUCAUCAAAUUGUAAUGUGGCGAUCAAGACUCGACAGUCUGGAUUGGGGCCCACAUACAUGAACCAUGUAAUUUGUUGUUACAUUACCUGAUUAGGGUAAACUACACCCAAGGUCACUGAAGUAUUAAUAAAUUUACAUUUCAGUCGUUUAACUUUAAAAAGUUACAAAAUAGUCACUAAAUCAUUCGGAAGUUUUUAUUUAAUUCAUUGAGAUAUUAAAUCUCUGUUAUAUGGCUUUCUUUAUUCACACGGCCUACACCAAUCAAAAGAUCUUAUUCUCCUUCUCUUCAACAAUUUAAUUAUUUUCAUAGAAUAAUUUUGAAUGUUAUGAAUUUACGAAUCAAAAUUCAAACAGUUUUCUUUUUCAAUCUCUUACAAGGUAUGUUCUUCUACUCUUUGAUAGGUACUAAUCCAUUGUAUCAAUCGUCAUAAAAAAAUACUUAACAAUUCAAUGACUUAAAUAAAUACUUUCAAAUAAUUUAGUGACCAUGUUGUAACUUUUUAAAGUUAAGUGACCAAAAUAUGAAUUUACUAAUAAUUUAGUGACCUUAGGUGUAGUUUACCCUACUAAUUAAUAUUAUAAUAAAUGUUUAAUUCUAUCCCCAACCUCUGUACUCUUUGGGGUUUUAAAAUUUAGCCUUCCUACUUUUGAUUUUAAAAAUUUAGUUUCUCUUCAUUUUUAUUUAAAAGUCCAAUUCAUGAAAACUUGGUUAAAUUUUAAUAUUCGAAGCUUUGAUCUAAAAAUAAUAAUAUAUAUUUAAAUUGAAUGGAAAUGUUAUUAAUUAAAUUUUAAUUUUUAAAUCAAGCAGGAGAGAUAGGGAAUUAAAAUUUAAAAUUAAAAUUUAAAAGCUGAAAGAGUAAAGGGGUUGGAAAAAAUUAAACCUACAAUAACUAAUUGAAUGAUACAAUUGUUAUGAAGUAGUGAGACAGCUGGACGUAGGGAGAGUGGGGUAUUGCUGCGCAAAGAGACAAACCAAUAGGAGGCGGCCGCGUGACCGGGUAAAGCAGUUACGGGUGAUAUUUUGAGAUGGGUCACCGACUCACCGGCAAGAAACUGUGUCUCUGCAAGCAAAACUUGUCUGGAAUAACGUGACGUGUAUUAUACUUAAACACCCUAACCUUUUCUCUUUUCGUUAAAAAUUGUCAAGUGGCUAAGGCUUUUUUUUUUAUCAUCUAUAUAUUAGAGUUUUAAAAAAAGUUUUGCAAAAUAGUUGAGUUGUGUAAUUAUUUCACCUCCACCCUUUGGCCUCUCUCGGUACAUUAUUAUGUAAAAGUGAGUAUUCCACUGAAUCGAUUAAAAAAUUUUGAGUUAAUUGAGUUAACGAGUUUUAUUUUAUCAUUCUAACUCGAUUUAAUUUUUUUUCAAAUUGAAUUGAGUAAAAUAAAAUUCGAGUCGAUUCGAAUGAAAUUGUUUGAGUUAAAUUAAAAAAUUAAACAUGUUAAAUUAAAAUCUUGUUAUACUAUAUAGAGGUGCUCAUGGGCCGGGCGGCCCGGCCCGGCCCGACGGCCCGCCCGAAAUAUGGGAGGGUUUGGGUAAAAAUAUAGGCCCGAAAUAUGGGCUUGGGCAAAAAAAUGAUGCCCGAUUUAAAAACGGGCCGGGCCUCGGGCACAACUUUUUUGGCCCGGGCCCGGCCCGGCCCGGCCCGAAUAUAAUAAAUAUUUUUAUUAUUUUUAAUUUUAAAAUACUUUUAAAAUACUUUUAUUAAAUUUUUUAAAUUUUUAAAUUUUUUUAAAAUACUUUUUAAAUUUUUUUUAAUUUUAAAAUAUUUUUAAAAUACUUUUUUUAAUUUUUAUUUUAAUUUUUAAAAUAAUUUUUUGGUAAUUAUUUAAAAAACGGGCCGGGCCGGGCCCAGGCUUAUGAUUUUUUUCCCAGGCUGGGCCUGGGCAAAAUUCUAGGCCCAUAUUUUGGGUCGGGCCAAAAAAAAUUUUUGGGCCCGGCCCGGCCCAGCCCAUGAGCACCUCUAAUACUAUAACUAAUUCCAUGUUAUAACACAUAAAUUUGAAACCAUAUAUAUUUGAAAACUUUUUCAAAGCAGAAUAAAAAAAUUACUUUAGUAUGAUAAACUUGAAUCAUUAAUUAACUUAUUUAGGUCCCAAAAUUAUUAUUCUAGAAAAUUUUUAAUAUUUUAACUUUCUUUAUAUUUUUUUAGAUUUUUUUUUGAAAUUUUUAUAAUUUUUAAAAAGUAUAAAUUUGGAAUUUUUAUAAAUAUUUUGAAAUUUUAAAAUUAUUUUGUAAUUUUUAUUGAGAGAGUGGUCAAUUUGUUCAUUUUCAAACUUGGCAGAGACCAAAAAGGUAUUUAUACCAAUAUGUUAUUCGAAUUAUUCGAGUUAUUUUAAUUGUAAAAUUCAACUCGAUUCGAACUCGAAACUCGAAUUACUUACUCGAGUUGACUUGAAUAAUUCAAAUAACUCGAUUCAAUUAACUCAAAAUUUAAUUUUUUUCGGAUUAAAUUGAAUUUUGCUCACUCCUAUUAUUUUGCACAGCAUCACAAUAUAGAUUUUUCGGUUUUAAAAUAUCGCCGAUCUAUAUUCUUCUUCAAUGCUAUAAAGCUCGACCCUUCCACAAUCAUUAUCUAUACAUCAUCAUCAUACAUUGUAUGAAUCGUAGAAUAUAUUACUGGAUUGUCAUAUAUAAUAAAUUUAUAUCUAUUCAUCAUCAUCAUACAUUAUACAAAAAUAUAUAAUAUGUCAAUUUACUACAUUCAUGAUAUGGAUUGAAAGAUAAAAAUUACACAAAUAAAAAUUACAUUUACUAAAAAUAAUGAUAUUUUCAAUAAUUAUUUGAUUUUAUAAAUAAAAGAGUUAUUAAUUAAAAUGAUAAAUAAAAAAUAAAAAAAACUUGAAAACAAUAUAUUUAUUAAUUAUAAAUAUUAAUUAAAAAUAAUAAAAAAGUUGAAAUAAAAAAUACAUAUUAAAAUUCUUAUAAAAGGAAUCAAACUUAGGACUGAAAGAAGAAAUCACAAUUAUCUAACCAUCUAACCAAAAGAGCUAAUGUGUCAAAAAUAUUAAUUUAAAAAAAAACUUAAAAUAACAUGAAAUAAAAAUUACAAAAGUGAAUAGGAGAGGAAUUGAACCUAAGACUUAAGACUAAAAACACUAACACUUAACCAUCUGAUCAAAAGAGCUAAGUUGUCAAUUUGUGAAAACAUGACACAUGUUCAGCUGACGUAGCUAAAAAUAUGCCCUAUAAGACGCAUUUUCAAUGACAUAGACAGUGAAAAUGCACCAUGUAAGACGUGCUUUCCUUUCUCUCUUCAAAACAACAUUGAUAAAUUUAAAAAAAACAACAUAGAUAAUUAAAUGUAGAUUUUUUUUUUCAGCAUAAAUGGAUAAAUCAACCUGGUAUAUAUUAAAUUAAUUAUAUUAUCUUAAUUAUUUAUUUGACUGAGUCUUAUUAAUGAAUGCCAAAUAUUAUAUAUUAUUAAUUAAUAUUUGCCUUCUGUUUCGAGCAAAUAAGAAAGCUUCAUAUUGGCCAUUUACACGCACACACGCAUAUAUAUCAUAGUGUAUUAUGAAUAUUCCAAGUGAAGGGAAUUUGCAUGCUUUUGGCUUUGGGUUGAUGGGAAAACGACAAAAACACCAAUAUUAACCAAUAAAAUUAAAAGCUUUAGAAUUAAGGACGAAUCACGCUUGAAAGUAGGCAUUGGGUCUAAUACAGUUUGUAUACAUUUGAUGCUUCAAAUAAUGCAUUUUGAAAGUUUGCUGCUUGGGCUUACAUUUUACAGGGUUUUGUUGUAGAGAAAAAGAGAAUUUUUAAUUUGUAGAGUCCUCUUGUGAAGUGCUUCUUCUGAUACGUGGCAAUUGUGAAUGUAAGAAGUUUCAUACAUGUAAGUCUGUCUGGUGUUUGCAGCCGGGGGAGAAGACGAUAGGAACCAAUGAAUAACGUCUCUCCUGGUUUAUGCCCCCAUGCCUAAUUAUUUUUUACUCAAAACUGUUCUUUCAGAUUAAACUAAAUAUUCAGAUUGAUUUGUAAGAUAUGCAUUUGCUGCCAUUUUAAGCUUUCCUGUACUUUCAUUGGAACAUUGUCUAACCAAACAACUCCUUUUUUCCCUGUAAUGGUUCAUGAGCUAUAUAUGAUCGUUUCAGUUUUGUUACUUUUACAAUGUUUAACCUGCACAAAUGAUCUUGGGAUUCAUUAGCAUUGGUAUUAGUAAAAUAAAUUGUGAUUUUAUUAAAAUAUAAUAGAGAAAUAAAAGACAGAAAAUGGGUAAAUGAAGGGGAAAAAAAAAAAGAAUGGGGGAAAUUACAUAGGAAAAAAGAACUAGAGUUUCCGCCUCUCAAUACACCAACCAAAGAAUUACAACGCAGAAUGUGGAAUGUGAUCAAAAUCAAUCUAGAAGCUCAAAGCAAUGGCUGCCCAUCCCAACGCCAACCCUCCAAUUAUCUUCUUCAUGUUCUUCAUUGCCUCUGCUCCACUCUGCAUUUGUUUAUAAUAACUCUUUAAAUGUUACAAAUAAAUAUAGUUUUAAGAUGAAAAAAAGAUCCAUUGGUCGGUCCUUUUUCAGAAAAGUAAAUGAACUAGCUCAACGGUGCAUCCUUUAGACGCGAUUAAAAGAAAAACAAGAUCUCUCUACAUUUAUGCAGUGUAAAAGUUCAGAUCUGAAAGCGCAUUGUUAUAUGAUGUAAGCUACUGAAGCGUUAGUAAAGCGAAGAGAAUGUACCUCAUCGGCAGCGACAGAUGGACCGGGAGAGGAAGCAUCGAGGCUAGGUCCAGGAGCUCCAGUUGGUGGAGCGGGAGGUCCAAGCAUAUCAGGUGAAGGAGCCGGAGCAUGGUGUUUCUUGGAUUUCUUGCUUUUGCUCUUGCUCUUGCUUGGAGCUGGGGCGGGAACCUCAGCAGUAGUUGGUGCCGCAACAAGAGCCGGAGGAGAGGCCGAGCUCUCUGGUGGAGUCGUCGGUGCAGCAACGGGAGGCGAUUUGGCUGGAGGAGAGCUCACAGGUACUGGAGCCGGUGGAGAACUCACCGGAGCAGCAGCCGGAGGAGAAGAAGCCGGAGCAGAUUUAGAUGGGGCUGGAACCGCCGCAGACUUCUCCGGAGCCGCAGCCGGUGGUGAAGAAGUUGGUGGGGAAGUGGUAGGGGCAGCAGUUGGAGCCGGUGAUUUAGGUUUGCUAACAGGGGCAGUAGCGGGAGCAGUGGCAGGAGUAGUCGCGGCCGGCGGAGCUUUAGUAGGUGAGGCUGCCGGAGAUUGACCACCGACAGCGGUCACCACAAAGCAAAUCAAAGCAACGGCAAAUGCACUUCUACGAUCCAUUUCUUGAAGACAGAGGGAGAGUGAAGUAGUAACAGAAACUAAUGACAACGGGACGACAGACUCUCAAU